RNAcentral lists this unclassified non-coding RNA (219 nucleotides) under Hevea brasiliensis (rubber tree). Lineage: Eukaryota; Viridiplantae; Streptophyta; Magnoliopsida; Malpighiales; Euphorbiaceae. The record is from RNAcentral.
GCAAACUGUAGCCUCCAUUGUUAGCUUCGUGUAUGUAUUUUUCGGCGCGAAUUCAAGCACCAUAGUUACUGAACAAGUUUUACUUUUCGAGUUCUUUAUCUUGAUCUCCUGACUAGAGAAAUUCCUGUUGGAUUACCUCCCCAUUCUUCGAAUACUACUAACAAGUUUCCACUUGGUUUCAGCCACGAUCGUGGAACAUGGUACCAUCUCUGAGAAGGU